GGCAUCUUAGCUCAAUGGUAGAGCGCUCAGACACUAUCUGAGAGGUCGGUCGUUCGAUUCGAUCACAUGCCA
This 72-nucleotide transfer RNA is filed under the name Pseudocercospora pini-densiflorae CBS 125139. Its description in RNAcentral is "tRNA-Ser (ACT) (tRNA-Ser-ACT-2-1)". It matches the Rfam family "tRNA". Rfam says of the family: Transfer RNA (tRNA) molecules are approximately 80 nucleotides in length. Their secondary structure includes four short double-helical elements and three loops (D, anti-codon, and T loops). Further hydrogen bonds mediate the characteristic L-shaped molecular structure. tRNAs have two regions of fundamental functional importance: the anti-codon, which is responsible for specific mRNA codon recognition, and the 3' end, to which the tRNAs corresponding amino acid is attached (by aminoacyl-tRNA synthetases). tRNAs cope with the degeneracy of the genetic code in two manners: having more than one tRNA (with a specific anti-codon) for a particular amino acid; and 'wobble' base-pairing, i.e. permitting non-standard base-pairing at the 3rd anti-codon position. Lineage: Eukaryota; Fungi; Ascomycota; Dothideomycetes; Mycosphaerellales; Mycosphaerellaceae. The record is from RNAcentral.